Molecule: non-coding RNA, 85 nt
Organism: Pelobates cultripes (western spadefoot toad)
Lineage: Eukaryota; Metazoa; Chordata; Amphibia; Anura; Pelobatidae
Source: the annotation of a GenBank genome assembly
CGGCACUCCAGAUGUUUUGGACUACACCUCCCAUGAUGCUUUGCCAGCAUUAUGGGGGAUGUAGUCCACAACAUCUGGAGUGCCG